CUAUCUACAGGCUUAACACAUGCAAGUCGAGGGGCAGCAUGGUCUUAGCUUGCUAAGGCCGAUGGCGACCGGCGCACGGGUGAGUAACGCGUAUCCAACCUGCCUUACACUCUUGGACAGCCUUCUGAAAGGGAGAUUAAUACAAGAUGUUAUCAUGAGUAAGCAUUUUCGCAUGAUUAAAGGUUUACCGGUGUAUGAUGGGGAUGCGUUCCAUUAGAUAGUAGGCGGGGUAACGGCCCACCUAGUCUUCGAUGGAUAGGGGUUCUGAGAGGAAGGUCCCCCACAUUGGAACUGAGACACGGUCCAAACUCCUACGGGAGGCAGCAGUGAGGAAUAUUGGUCAAUGGACGAGAGUCUGAACCAGCCAAGUAGCGUGAAGGAUGAAGGUUCUAUGGAUUGUAAACUUCUUUUAUACGGGAAUAAACGGAUCCACGUGUGGAUUUUUGCAUGUACCGUAUGAAUAAGGAUCGGCUAACUCCGUGCCAGCAGCCGCGGUAAUACGGAGGAUCCGAGCGUUAUCCGGAUUUAUUGGGUUUAAAGGGAGCGUAGAUGGGUUGUUAAGUCAGUUGUGAAAGUUUGCGGCUCAACCGUAAAAUUGCAAUUGAUACUGGCAGUCUUGAGUACAGUUGAGGUAGGCGGAAUUCGUGGUGUAGCGGUGAAAUGCUUAGAUAUCACGAAGAACUCCGAUUGCGAAGGCAGCUUACUAACCUGUAACUGACAUUGAUGCUCGAAAGUGUGGGUAUCAAACAGGAUUAGAUACCCUGGUAGUCCACACGGUAAACGAUGAAUACUCGCUGUAGGCGAUAUACAGUCUGCGGCCAAGCGAAAGCAUUAAGUAUUCCACCUGGGGAGUACGCCGGCAACGGUGAAACUCAAAGGAAUUGACGGGGGCCCGCACAAGCGGAGGAACAUGUGGUUUAAUUCGAUGAUACGCGAGGAACCUUACCCGGGCUUAAAUUGCAACCGAAUAUGGCGGAAACGCUAUAGCUAGCAAUAGCGGUUGUGAAGGUGCUGCAUGGUUGUCGUCAGCUCGUGCCGUGAGGUGUCGGCUUAAGUGCCAUAACGAGCGCAACCCUUGCCGAUAGUUACUAACAGGUUAUGCUGAGGACUCUGUCGGGACUGCCAUCGUAAGAUGUGAGGAAGGUGGGGAUGACGUCAAAUCAGCACGGCCCUUACGUCCGGGGCUACACACGUGUUACAAUGGGGGGUACAGAGGGCUGCUACCACGCAAGUGGAUGCCAAUCCCAAAAACCUCUCUCAGUUCGGAUUGAAGUCUGCAACCCGACUUCAUGAAGCUGGAUUCGCUAGUAAUCGCGCAUCAGCCACGGCGCGGUGAAUACGUUCCCGGGCCUUGUACACACCGCCCGUCAAGCCAUGGGAGCCGGGGGUACCUGAAGUGCGUAACCGCAAGGAGCGCCCUAGGGUAAAACUGGUGACU
RNAcentral lists this ribosomal RNA (1438 nucleotides) under uncultured organism. Its description in RNAcentral is "SSU rRNA". It matches the Rfam family "Bacterial small subunit ribosomal RNA". The record is from RNAcentral.